AUUGAACGCUGGCGGCAGGCCUAACACAUGCAAGUCGAGCGGAUGAAGGGAGCUUGCUCCUGGAUUCAGCGGCGGACGGGUGAGUAAUGCCUAGGAAUCUGCCUGGUAGUGGGGGAUAACGUCCGGAAACGGGCGCUAAUACCGCAUACGUCCUGAGGGAGAAAGUGGGGGAUCUUCGGACCUCACGCUAUCAGAUGAGCCUAGGCCGGAUUAGCUAGUUGGUGGGGUAAAGGCCUACCAAGGCGACGAUCCGUAACUGGUCUGAGAGGAUGAUCAGUCACACUGGAACUGAGACACGGUCCAGACUCCUACGGGAGGCAGCAGUGGGGAAUAUUGGACAAUGGGCGAAAGCCUGAUCCAGCCAUGCCGCAUGUGUGAAGAAGGUCUUCGGAUUGUAAAGCACUUUAAGUUGGGAAGAAGAGCAGUAAGUUAAUACCUUGCUGUUUUGACGUUACCAACAGAAUAAGCACCGGCUAACUUCGUG
RNAcentral lists this ribosomal RNA (484 nucleotides) under uncultured bacterium. RNAcentral's name for it is "partial 16S ribosomal RNA". It matches the Rfam family "Bacterial small subunit ribosomal RNA", at positions 30 to 507 of the family's 1533-position model. The record is from RNAcentral.